CCCCACCCCCACCUGCUGCCGCCCCGCCCACCGCAACCGCCCCCCGCCGCCCAGGACGCCCAGCUGGAGGACGCCACCAGGAGCCUCCACAAGGCCCUCGCCCUGGAAGGUCUGAGGGACUGGUACCUGAGGAACACGAUAGGCUCCGCCCACCAGAACCAGGCCAACGGGAAGGUCAACGCAGGCGUCAACACCAAGGCCAACGGGGGGGUCAAAGGUCAGGCCGGAGGGGGAAGAGCUCUGACCGGCAGACGGAGGACUCACGGCGGACUCCAGCAGCCGGCCUAUCAGACGGAGACGAGUCAUCAGAAAAAGACGCUGCCGCAUUCAGCCACGUUCCACGGACACCCGCUGCACGGCAGGUCUGUGGAAAGCUCUCUCUACCAAGACUCAUUCCCUCCUCAGAAACUAGAAGACCAGCCAUCUCCUGGAACUCUGGUCUGACUCCCCGACCAAUCAGGAAGCUGAUCCCGGGCUGGCUUCUUGGGGUCAUACCUCUCUGGACCGCUGUGUCCCGCGGGUUCUUCGGGAGAACAGGGGUUACGUCCUAGGUCGUUAAAUGGCUUCCAUGUUUCCUCCAUGUGCUUCUCUUCCUCGCGUCUCAGUCCGUCCAACCAGGAAAGCACGGGAAGGAAACGAGGAAAUGUGUUUUUAGAAGGUUGGGACGUCCUUUCCUCAGAAGUGUCACAUGACUUUGUCAGCUGUGUGGGCGGAGUUAGCGACGACUUCCAGGAAGGAUGCUCUCUGUAUCCUCGCUCAUAGCUCCUCAGAGAUCCCUCCUCCAUCCUCGCUCAUAGCUCCUCAGAGAUCCCUCCUCCAUCCUCGCUCAUAGCUCCUCAGAGAUCCCUCCUCCAUCCUCGCUCAUAGCUCCUCAGAGAUCCCUCCUCCAUCCUCGCUCAUAGCUCCUCAGAGAUCCCUCCUCCAUCCUCGCUCAUAGCUCCUCAGAGAU
Etheostoma cragini (Arkansas darter) is the source of this 949-nucleotide long non-coding RNA. RefSeq lists it as uncharacterized. Lineage: Eukaryota; Metazoa; Chordata; Actinopteri; Perciformes; Percidae. The transcript has 3 exons. The record is from RefSeq and is a predicted model, not a curated record.